RNAcentral lists this ribosomal RNA (274 nucleotides) under uncultured bacterium. Its description in RNAcentral is "partial 16S ribosomal RNA". It matches the Rfam family "Bacterial small subunit ribosomal RNA", at positions 523 to 796 of the family's 1533-position model. The record is from RNAcentral.
AUACGGAGGGUGCAAGCGUUAUUCGGAAUCACUGGGCGUAAAGGACGCGUAGGCGGGUUGGCAAGUCAGAUGUGAAAUCCUACAGCUUAACUGUAGAACUGCAUUUGAAACUGCUAACCUAGAGUAUGGGAGCGGGAGAUGGAAUUAGUGGUGUAGGGGUAAAAUCCGUAGAUAUCUCUAGGAAUACCGAAAGCGAAGGCGAUCUCCUGGAACAUAACUGACGCUAAGGCGUGAAAGCGUGGGGAGCAAACAGGAUUAGAUACCCUAGUAGUCC